This 490-nucleotide ribosomal RNA is filed under the name uncultured bacterium. RNAcentral describes it as "partial 16S ribosomal RNA". It matches the Rfam family "Bacterial small subunit ribosomal RNA", at positions 30 to 507 of the family's 1533-position model. The record is from RNAcentral.
AUUGAACGCUGGCGGCAGGCCUAACACAUGCAAGUCGAACGGUAACAGGAAGCAGCUUGCUGCUUCGCUGACGAGUGGCGGACGGGUGAGUAAUGUCUGGGAAGCUGCCUGAUGGAGGGGGAUAACUACUGGAAACGGUAGCUAAUACCGCAUAAUGUCGCAAGACCAAAGAGGGGGAGCUUCGGUCCUCUGGCCAUCGGAUGUGCCCAGAUGGGAUUAGCUUGUUGGGGGGGUAACGGCCCACCAAGGCGACGAUCCCUAGCUGGUCUGAGAGGAUGACAAGCCACACGGGAACUGAGACACGGUCCAGACUCCUACGGGAGGCAGCAGUGGGGAAUAUUGCACAAUGGGCGCAAGCCUGAUGCAGCCAUGCCGCGUGUAUGAAGAAGGCCUUCGGGUUGUAAAGUACUUCCAGCGGGGAGGAAGGGAGUAAAGUUAAUACCUUGGCUCAUUGACGUUACCCGCAGAAGAAGCACCGGCUAACUCCGUG